RNAcentral lists this ribosomal RNA (484 nucleotides) under uncultured bacterium. RNAcentral describes it as "partial 16S ribosomal RNA". It matches the Rfam family "Bacterial small subunit ribosomal RNA", at positions 29 to 507 of the family's 1533-position model. The record is from RNAcentral.
AGUGAACGCUGGCGGCAGGCCUAACACAUGCAAGUCGAGCGGCAGCGGGUCCUUCGGGAUGCCGGCGAGCGGCGGACGGGUGAGGAAUGCGUCGGAAUCUGCCUUUUUGUGGGGGAUAACGUAGGGAAACUUACGCUAAUACCGCAUACGACCUACGGGUGCAAGUGGGGGACCGCGAGGCCUCACGCAGAAAGAUGAGCCGACGUCGGAUUAGCUAGUUGGCGGGGUAAAGGCCCACCAAGGCGACGAUCCGUAGCUGGUCUGAGAGGAUGAUCAGCCACACUGGAACUGAGACACGGUCCAGACUCCUACGGGAGGCAGCAGUGGGGAAUAUUGGACAAUGGGCGCAAGCCUGAUCCAGCCAUGCCGCGUGUGUGAAGAAGGCCUUCGGGUUGUAAAGCACUUUUGUCCGGAAAGAAAUCCUGUCGGCUAAUACCCGGCGGGGAUGACGGUACCGGAAGAAUAAGCACCGGCUAACUUCGUG